UGAAAUUCGCAACUAUCUCCACCUUAUCCAUCCGUUUCAAACCUGACAACAUCAACAAGAACGAUUUCUGUGAUUUGGUUCAGAAGACCAGAUCCCCUGCUCAAUGAGCACUCCAACGCCGCUCCUCCUCCUUCGCCUAUCUAUCCUCCAAAGCCACGAAGCUCUCGAUUCCAACAGAUACACCCUCUGUAGUUGCUCAUUUGACAAAUCGUCCACCGGCUCUUGCCACGUUGUCGCCACUGCCGCCAUUCCCGGUUGUCCACACGCGGUCGAGUCACUGGUCUCCGCUUACAUGUGCUACCUCCACAACUCGAUGUAUUCUCUUCCGCCGACUACCUCUCCGACGACGAAGAAAACACUCUUUUUAUGUCUCCAAGACGGAUCAUUUUGUCUACGAUUUUGCCACAGCCCAACG
This 415-nucleotide long non-coding RNA is filed under the name Linum usitatissimum (flax). RNAcentral's name for it is "long non-coding RNA (LUSI_LNC006679)". The record is from RNAcentral. Lineage: Eukaryota; Viridiplantae; Streptophyta; Magnoliopsida; Malpighiales; Linaceae.